CCUACGGGAGGCAGCAGUGAGGAAUAUUGGUCAAUGGACGCAAGUCUGAACCAGCCAUGCCGCGUGCAGGAAGACGGCUCUAUGAGUUGUAAACUGCUUUUGUACGAGGGUAAACGCAGAUACGCGUAUCUGUCUGAAAGUAUCGUACGAAUAAGGAUCGGCUAACUCCGUGCCAGCAGCCGCGGUAAUACGGAGGAUUCAAGCGUUAUCCGGAUUUAUUGGGUUUAAAGGGUGCGUAGGCGGUCGGAUAAGUUAGUGGUGAAAUCCCGAGGCUCAACCUCGGAAUUGCCGCUGAUACUGGUCGGCUAGAGAGUAGUUGCGGUAGGCGGAAUUUAUGGUGUAGCGGUGAAAUGCUUAGAGAUCAUACAGAACACCGAUUGCGAAGGCAGCUUACCAAGCUACUUCUGACGUUGAGGCACGAAAGCGUGGGUAGCAAACAGGAUUAGAUACCCGGGUAGUC
Molecule: ribosomal RNA, 460 nt
Filed under: uncultured bacterium
Lineage: Bacteria
Description: partial 16S ribosomal RNA
Rfam family: Bacterial small subunit ribosomal RNA
Source: RNAcentral